CCAGCAGCUGCGGUAAUUCCAGCUUCAAUAGCGUAUAUUUAAGUUGUUGCAGUUAAACAGCUCGUAGUUGGAUUUCGGGUGGGUUCCAGCGGUCCGCCUAUGGUGAGUACUGCUGCGGCCCUCCUUUUUGUCGGGGACGGGCUCCUGGGCGUCACUGUCCGGGACUCGGAGUCGACGAUGAUACUUUGAGUAAAUUAGAGUGUUCAAAGCAAGCCUACGCUCUGAAUACUUUAGCAUGGAAUAUCGCGAUAGGACUCUGGCCUAUCUCGUUGGUCUGUAGGACCGGAGUAAUGAUUAAGAGGGACAGUCGGGGGCAUUCGUAUUUCAUUGUCAGAGGUGAAAUUCUUGGAUUUAUGAAAGACGAACUACUGCGAAAGCAUUUGCCAAGGAUGUUUUCAUU
RNAcentral lists this ribosomal RNA (400 nucleotides) under uncultured eukaryote. Its description in RNAcentral is "SSU rRNA". It matches the Rfam family "Eukaryotic small subunit ribosomal RNA", at positions 567 to 974 of the family's 1831-position model. The record is from RNAcentral.